This 71-nucleotide transfer RNA is filed under the name Saprolegnia parasitica CBS 223.65. It matches the Rfam family "tRNA". From Rfam's summary of the family: Transfer RNA (tRNA) molecules are approximately 80 nucleotides in length. Lineage: Eukaryota; Oomycota; Saprolegniomycetes; Saprolegniales; Saprolegniaceae. The record is from Rfam by way of RNAcentral.
GCGCCGUUGGUCUAAUGGUUAGGAUCCAUCUCUUCCAAAGAUGGGGUCGGGUUCAAUUCCCCGGCGGCGCA